GCAGCGGGUCCUUUCGCGGAAGCCCGGCGAGCGGCGGACGGGUUGAGUUAAUGCCUAGGAAUCUUGCCUUGGUAGUGGGGGACUAACUUCGGGGAAACUUCGAGCUUAAUACCGCAUACGUCCUUACGGGAGAAAAGCGGGGGAUCUUUCGGACCUCGCGCUACCAGAUGAGCCUAGGUCGGAUUAGCUAGUUGGUGAGGUAAAGGCUCACCAAGGCGACGAUCCGUAGCUGGUCUGAGAGGAUGAUCAGCCACACUGGAACUGAGACACGGUCCAGACUCCUACGGGAGGCAGCAGUGGGGAAUAUUGGACAAUGGGCGAAAGCCUGAUCCAGCCAUGCCGCGUGUGUGAAGAAGGUCUUCGGAUUGUAAAGCACUUUAAGUUGGGAGGAAGGGCAGUAAGCUAAUACCUUGCUGUUUUGACGUUACCGACAGAAUAAGCACCGGCUAACUUCGUGCCAGCAGCCGCGGUUA
RNAcentral lists this ribosomal RNA (473 nucleotides) under Stutzerimonas stutzeri. Its description in RNAcentral is "bacterial SSU rRNA". It matches the Rfam family "Bacterial small subunit ribosomal RNA", at positions 66 to 523 of the family's 1533-position model. The record is from RNAcentral. Lineage: Bacteria; Pseudomonadati; Pseudomonadota; Gammaproteobacteria; Pseudomonadales; Pseudomonadaceae.